This is a long non-coding RNA of Gasterosteus aculeatus aculeatus (three-spined stickleback), 2978 nucleotides long. The record is from Ensembl. Lineage: Eukaryota; Metazoa; Chordata; Actinopteri; Perciformes; Gasterosteidae.
CCUGACACUUGUCACGCAAUGAUAUUCAGCAACAUUGUGAUGCCAUCAGAAGCAUCUCUGCUCUUUCCUCAUAAUACACCCAGGCAACUGCUCGAGCGCAUUCUUACCUCAAUGUAAUCGUCUGUGGGGAGGUUCUUGUAGGUGGCAAUUCCUGCCUCAGGAGAGUGUGUACGUGGGCCUCGCAGAGUUUCAGGAGAGAAGUUGCAUUAGUGCACUCGUGUUUUUAAGAAAGUUUGAGGUACGGAGGAGCACAAAAAGUUCUUUGGGAAGUGUGGGAAAGGCUUUUAAAGAUUCACAAGUCAUGACUCAGCCAAGUUUGUACAGACACAAGCAUGAACAGGAGGGCAGAGAUGGAAAAGGUUAGCCUAACUAAACAAUCUUAGGCCCACUAAGCUGAACAACCUGGGUAUAUAUAUAUAAGCAAAGAAAACUAGUGUCUUUGCCUUGUUUGUCUUCCUCAGCCCCUCAAAGACGAUGUGUUACACACCUGAAGCAGUCUUACAUCAGUUGAACAGCAUCAUCCGUCAGACUGGAGAGAAAACGGCAAGACGAGGAGCCUGUCCCUCUGAGUCCCCGGCUAACUCUGUGGUGGCUGCCUGUGUGAUUGCCUGGGCAAAGUAUGGAGGAGAGUGGGCCAGAGGCAGAGCAGCGAGGCACAGAUAACAGGCUUACAAGCAGAAUUACUAUGUGGGCUCUUUACCAUUGUGGAACAUCUUGAUUUUAAUGGCAGUAAAAAUGCCACAUCAAUGCCACAUGCUUACCAACAUUUGAGGUUAGUGAAAGUUGAUUAUCUAACAAAUAAAACCAUAUCUCACAGUUGUUGUGGAAAGGGUGUUGUCAUUUCAGAUGAUGACUUUUAUAUUAUAGGAAUGCUAAAACCCAAACCAAUUUUAAAAUCAGACUGCAUCCCAGAAGAAGAAACUACACGGAUGUUCUUAUUUUGUAAUCUCAAACAUGCAAAUGUUGUUGGAUGUUGAAUUGAUUUAUGAGGGAAAACCAUUUGAGGCUGGACUGUCCGUUGUAAAUGACGCUGAACGACUUUAAUCUGGAGUUACGGUAAAUAUAAGCCAUAAUGUGUGCAAUAUCUAAGAGCAGUGCUCACCGCACAGCGAGGGACUUGCCUGAAAACCUGUGAGUUGAAAAUAUAACAGAGAUAAAACCGCUAAGGAAUCUACUUACGAUUAUUGUAAACUCUGAACUGCAAUAUCCCACUUUGUAAUGCAACUACUGCACAGCAAUUUCCCUGGGGAUAAAUAAAGUUUCACUCCAUCUUAUCAUGCCGACCUGAGAAGCAGCAGCUGCUGCAAGGCAUCCUGGAACUCUGUAGAGAAGCUCUACAUUUGUUACUGACUGACCGACAGUUCAUGCAAUUAGUCAUGAGGGAUAAUUGUGUCUAAGUAACCAGCUUUUAAGGUCUCAUUCUCACCUUGAUGUCAUUUUCAGUCUUUCUUGUUUUUGUUGCAUGUAAAAUGUCACCGGUUUCAUAAAAUGUUACUUUUUCUCCCACAAAGCCAACAUCAAUUAUGUAGAAAAAUAAGGUGCUUUGGCUUUUGUAAAGGCCAGUACAUUUCAACCGAUGUUGCUGAAAUCCAAAUGAAACGACGAUGCACUUCCAUUCAAGGAUGAUGGGAAACUGCAUCGCUCCAGUUCCUCUUUAUCUCGAUUUUUUAAAAACCCCUUCCUGCCACUAUUACAAAGCAAUGUCUCCAUUAUGAAGGGCUGAGAUGGAGCUAGGAUUGCACCGCCGUGGUUGCUGACAGGAACAAAGGUCAACCCUUUAUCCAUCAACCUCCCAAUACAUCUACCUAUCAGCCUGGGUGUCCCUUCCCGUAUCGUUCAGUCCAUCGGCCCCCAACAAACAGCCCCACUCCUUUGUAAAAAGGUUUUUUCUACAUCAGCCUACUUUCAACAAGCUGACAAAUGCAGCAAUGCCCCCAAAUAUGUGCAAGUAAACUAACUUAAAUUUGACCCCUAACAUUCUCUGUAAACAACCAAAUGUAGACUGGCAUAAUUUUCCAAGCUUCUCAGAAUUUCUUUGAGCAUUUCACUAUUAAAUUGAGAAAUGAACACACACAGCAGUAGUAAUAUUGUGGCCUGAAAACAAAAUCUCUGCUUUAAUGAGCAGAACUGCUGGCAGACGUUUUUAGUUUUAGAGUUGUUGAUUGCAAACUGUCUUUCUGCAUGAUUUGUUUAGGGAGGAACGGAUUUGUCACCUGCUGUAAUUUUGCUGUUGGAGAAGUUUUAAAAGUGUCUCCUGUAUACUUCUGCCUAUAUGCAUACAGUGGAUGUAAAGGGUUCAGCGACUUCCAAGUGUUAAUGUGUUGAAAUUCACUUUCCCUGAAACCUGCCUCGUCUAAAUUGUUUCCAGGUAGUUUGCGAUUUGUUGUAUUUCCUGGAAUAAUGUGUGAAAGUCUAGAUUUAGAUGUUGACCUUGUUGCUUUACGUCGAAGCUGAGCUAACAAAUGAGUGAACAAAACACAUUUAAAAUGUGACAUUGAGCUCCCUAAUGUGUUGCACACAAAGAGUCUAGAAAUCCUUCAGCUUCACAAAAUAAUUUGCAGAAUUAUAACAGUAAAUGAUCAUUGUAAUACUUAAAGAAAAAAAGCUUCCCUAUUUCAGCUAAAUGGUUAUUUGACUUUGACAAAUGAUAAAGUCUUCACCUAUUGACAACGUCAAUGGAGAAUAGCGGGGUGGACAUCCCUCGUUCGGCAGCAGUGGAAGUCAAAUCAAGACGAUCUUUGGGAGGGACAGACAACUGAUUAAAACGAUACAAUUCUGUGUUUUUCACAAAACAUUUCAAUUAUUUACUUUCCCACAUGCAGAACCAAUCCCUGUCCUGCAGGCCGUUAGUAAGUCGAUGCUGCUGCUUUGGAUGAUGCACCAGGGUGAUGUUUGUGAGGGAGAGAGAAUUGCAAAAAAGAAAAGAGGUCAAAGUACGAACACGGCCUACCUGUCCCUGGGCUUUAUGAGCACUAAUA